CGCGAAUGGCUCAUUACAACAGCUAUAAUUUACUUGAUCUUGACUUCCUACUUGGAUAACUGUGGUAAUUCUAGAGCUAAUACAUGCACCAAAGCUCCGACCUUACGGGAAGAGCGCAUUUAUUCGAACAAAACCAAGCGGCUUCGGCCGUCCGCAGUUGACUCAGAAUAACUAAGCUGAUCGCAUGGUCUUGCACCGGCGACGUGUCUUUCAAGUAUCUGCCUUAUCAACUUUCGAUGGUAGUGUAUCUGACUACCAUGGUGGUGACGGGUAACGGAGGAUAAGGGUUCGACUCCGGAGAAGGGGCCUGAGAAAUGGCCACUACGUCUAAGGAUGGCAGCAGGCGCGCAAAUUACCCACUCUCAGAAUGAGGAGGUAGUGACGAGAAAUAACGAGACCGUUCUCUACGAGGCCGGUCAUCGGAAUGGGUACAAUUUAAACCCUUUAACGAGUAUCUAUGAGAGGGCAAGUCUGGUGCCAGCAGCCGCGGUAAUUCCAGCU
This 501-nucleotide ribosomal RNA is filed under the name Merlinius joctus. RNAcentral's name for it is "SSU rRNA". It matches the Rfam family "Eukaryotic small subunit ribosomal RNA", at positions 88 to 590 of the family's 1831-position model. The record is from RNAcentral. Lineage: Eukaryota; Metazoa; Nematoda; Chromadorea; Rhabditida; Merliniidae.